Molecule: ribosomal RNA, 377 nt
Filed under: uncultured Holophagae bacterium
Lineage: Bacteria; Pseudomonadati; Acidobacteriota; Holophagae
Description: bacterial SSU rRNA
Rfam family: Bacterial small subunit ribosomal RNA
Source: RNAcentral
UAAUACGGGGGGGGCAAGCGUUAUUCGGAUUUACUGGGCGUAAAGCGCACGUAGGUGGCAAUGUAAGUCACAGGUGAAAGCCCUCGGCUCAACCGAGGAACUGCCUGCGAAACUGCAUUGCUUGAGUCCGGGAGGGGGGAGCGGAAUUCCCAGUGUAGCGGUGAAAUGCGUAGAUACUUGGAGGAACACCGGUGGCGAAGGCGGCUCCCUGGACCGGUACUGACACUGAGGUGCGAAAGCGUGGGUAGCAAACAGGAUUAGAUACCCUGGUAGUCCACGCCGUAAACGAUGGGCACUAGGUGCAGCGGGUGUCGACCCCUGCUGUGCCGGAGUUAACGCAUUAAGUGCCCCGCCUGGGGAGUACGGUCGCAAGGCUG